AUUAAGGUGGCAGAGCCCGGAAUUGCGAAAGACCUAAGCCCUUUCAACGGAGGUCCAAAUCCUCCCCUUAAUA
Molecule: transfer RNA, 73 nt
Filed under: Diplodus holbrookii (spottail pinfish)
Lineage: Eukaryota; Metazoa; Chordata; Actinopteri; Spariformes; Sparidae
Description: tRNA-Leu
Rfam family: tRNA
About the family: Transfer RNA (tRNA) molecules are approximately 80 nucleotides in length.
Source: RNAcentral